RNAcentral lists this ribosomal RNA (301 nucleotides) under uncultured bacterium. RNAcentral describes it as "partial 16S ribosomal RNA". It matches the Rfam family "Bacterial small subunit ribosomal RNA", at positions 509 to 807 of the family's 1533-position model. The record is from RNAcentral.
CAGUCGCCGCGGUAAUACGCAGGGUGCGAGCGUUAAUCGGAAUUACUGGGCGUAAAGCGUGCGCAGGCGGUUGUGUAAGACAGGUGUGAGAUCCCCGGGCUUAACCUGGGAACUGCGCUUGUGACUGCACAGCUAGAGUAUGGCAGAGGGGGGUGGAAUUCCACGUGUAGCAGUGAAAUGCGUAGAGAUGUGGAGGAACACCGAUGGCGAAGGCAGCCCCCUGGGCCAAUACUGACGCUCAUGCACGAAAGCGUGGGGAGCAAACAGGAUUAGAUACCCCAGUAGUCCCUGUCUCUUAUAC